Molecule: unclassified non-coding RNA, 968 nt
Filed under: Eurytemora carolleeae
Lineage: Eukaryota; Metazoa; Arthropoda; Copepoda; Calanoida; Temoridae
Description: uncharacterized LOC111703363
Source: RNAcentral
AUACGUUGUUAUAUUUUAAAUUGUGCCUUCCAGAUUUUAAUUCAAUUUAUUUCUUUCAGACAAUUUACAAAUGAACAAUGUCGCAGAUAAAAUUGGUUCGAACAGAUUCACAGCUGUCGCAGAUGUCACGUGCGAGCGAAUCUAUGUGUGCGGAUGAUAUUUUAGUUGAAAGUUGGAAAGGAAAAGCCCAGCAACAAUUUGACUUGGAAACAAUUCUAAACCUUUCACAAAGUCAGGGUUUUAAUGAGACUCAGACACAGAUUGCUGAGACAUUCUACUCCGUAUCUCCUGUAAAACGACAUCAAUCCUUGAGAUUAGAUAAUCCGAACAAUCAGUAUCCGGAGAGGUUUUCUCCCGGAGUAAACCUGUUUCAGUCUGAGAGAGGAUCAAAAUUUUUCAAAUACGGAGACAUUGACAUAGAGAGCCUGUUUGACUACCAUCCCCGUGCUAGGUUGUAUAAGCGCGGUUUUACCGAUGAAAGAAUAAAUACUAUUCUCAAAGAUCCUGUUGUAUUAGCGGAGUCCCUCCAGGCAACCUCAGCUAGUAGUUUACUAAUAAAAGAUCAGACUGAAUACCAAAUAGUUCUGGACUAUUUGUUUUAUUCAUAUUCCGUACUUGCAGAUGACUGUGAUAGGUUAAUUAUAGAGAAAUGUAUCUCCGACCUCCUCCUGAACUACGGGUACAGCUGGAAGCUGAACCUGAACAAGAUAAUCUUGGUUUUAACCAACUACAGAGCUGACCCUAAACUAAUAUUCAAUCCCAAGUUUUACCAGGAACAUUUUAAGAAAACUCCUCCUAAGUCCAGCAUUCAGAUUUCCUGUUCUUGAACCAGGACCUCCUUUAGCACCUAAUGCCAUGCUCCACACCUUCAAGCUGAUAAAGAAUUUGAUAUUGAAAAAUCUGCUUGACUGUAAAACUUAUGAUGAGUUCAAGAUGAUUACAUGGAUCCUUUUCGUUACAGCUCAUGA